GUCGGUUUGGCCUUGUGAGUUUCGUCCCUUUAGUACAUUUUUUCAAGUUACAUUUGAAUACUUUUAUAGAUUAGACAUGUAUUGAUAGCUCAUUCAUUUAUAUUUUUAGUAUAACCAAAACAUGUGUUUUUACAUAAUAUAUGGUUGAAUAGUGGAUUGUUGCAGUACUUGUGGAUGAUUUAACAAGAGUUUAUGUGAAACAAAAUGAAUGAAUUAUAUGUUUGUACAUAAAAUAGGCCGUUAGUUUUUCUCGUUUGAAUUGUAUUACAUUUGUUAUUUCGGGGCCUUUUAUAGCUGACUAUGCGGUAUGGGCUGUGAUUCUUGUUGAAGGCCAUACAGUGACCUAUAAUCGUUAAUUUCUUUGUCAUUUGGUUUCUUGUGGAGAGUUGUCUAAUUGGCAAUCAUAUCACAACGUCUUUUUUUUUAAUAUUUGAUCCUCAUUAUAUAAGGAUCAUCCAUUCAAUGAGGCCUGAUAGUUCUUAUAUAGAGAAGAUUUUCAAAGUUUUUUUUUCCAUUGGAGCCUAUGUUAAACUUUUGACCCCUAAUACUCGAGCAUACAGGAUCCCCUGACCUUUGUCUAUCACCUAAGGAAGUUGUCUAGUACCCGAAGUAUAGUAUGCGAGUCCUUGCUAUCGCUUGUUGUCGUUGUCGUCUGUCGUAAGUGUUUUUUUUAAAUCUUCUUUGAAACUACUGUGCAAAAUUCUUUGAAAGUUAGUUGAUUUUUCCAUAUUGAUGUUUCCUUUACAAAAGGCGUGCGUCGAUUUAUGACACAUUAAAAGCACAGCCGCUUAUACUAACUUGAAAACUAUGAUAUAAUGGGCGCACAUUCGUUUUUUUUUUUAUAUAAUAUCUCGAUUGAAACCGUUACAUUUAUCCCAUAUCUGUCGAAGGUUCAUCAUGACAAAAUGGACUUAUGCCGAAAAUUUCAGAUUGAUCUGUUUGACCCAUAUCUGAGUUGUGUCCUCUAAAACAUUUUUGUCUCGCUUGACAGAGACAAAAAGCGAGUCAUAGAUAUGCAGUUUCCGGCGUCGGCGGCGUCGUUAGCAAUGUAUUAGUUUGUGAUUAGGUCUAGUUUAUGGUGAACCACUAGUGGUAAGUCUAAGAUAUUUGGUAUGCAGUUGUAUAAGUAUUGGCACAUCACAUUACUAUGGAGAUUAUUUGGCCCCACCCCCUCAGCCAUUGUCGAUUGGAAGUUUUGCUUAGUUUUCAUGUACUGGUUUAUGAUUAAGUCAGUUUAUGGGGAACUUCUAGUGACCAGUAAAUGAUAUUUGGUAUGUAG
Molecule: long non-coding RNA, 1279 nt
Filed under: Mytilus galloprovincialis (Mediterranean mussel)
Lineage: Eukaryota; Metazoa; Mollusca; Bivalvia; Mytilida; Mytilidae
Source: RNAcentral